CGCUGGCGGCGUGCCUAAUACAUGCAAGUCGAACGGGUCUUUUCUAAUGGAAGCUUGCUUCCGACUGAGAAGAUAGUGGCGAACGGGUGAGUAACACGUGGGUAACCUGCCCAUAAGAGGGGGAUAACAUCCGGAAACGGGUGCUAAUACCGCAUAGUUUUCUUGAUCGCAUGAUUGAGAAAGGAAAGACGGCCUUUGUGCUGUCGCUUAUGGAUGGACCCGCGGCGUAUUAGUUAGUUGGUGAGGUAACGGCUCACCAAGACGAUGAUACGUAGCCGACCUGAGAGGGUGAUCGGCCACAUUGGGACUGAGACACGGCCCAAACUCCUACGGGAGGCAGCAGUAGGGAAUCUUCCGCAAUGGACGAAAGUCUGACGGAGCAACGCCGCGUGAGUGAAGAAAAGGUUUUCGGAUCGUAAAACUCUGUUGUCAGAGAAGAACAAGUUGGAGAGUAACUGCUCCAGCCUUGACGGUAUCUGACCAGAAAGCCACGGCUAACUACGUGCCAGCAGCCGC
Molecule: ribosomal RNA, 516 nt
Filed under: uncultured bacterium
Lineage: Bacteria
Description: bacterial SSU rRNA
Rfam family: Bacterial small subunit ribosomal RNA
Source: RNAcentral